AUGAACGCUGGCGGCGUGCCUAAUACAUGCAAGUCGAGCGAACAGAUGAGGAGCUUGCUCCUCUGACGUUAGCGGCGGACGGGUGAGUAACACGUGGAUAACCUACCUAUAAGACUGGGAUAACUUCGGGAAACCGGAGCUAAUACCGGAUAAUAUAUUGAGCCGCAUGGUUCAAUAGUGAAAGACGGUUUUGCUGUCACUUAUAGAUGGAUCCGCGCCGCAUUAGCUAGUUGGUAAGGUAACGGCUUACCAAGGCAACGAUGCGUAGCCGACCUGAGAGGGUGAUCGGCCACACUGGAACUGAGACACGGUCCAGACUCCUACGGGAGGCAGCAGUAGGGAAUCUUCUGCAAUGGGCGAAAGCCUGACGGAGCAACGCCGCGUGAGUGAUGAAGGUCUUCGGAUCGUAAAACUCUGUUAUUAGGGAAGAACAAAUGUGUAAGUAACUAUGCACGUCUUGACGGUACCUAAUCAGAAAGCCACGGCUAACUACGUG
RNAcentral lists this ribosomal RNA (496 nucleotides) under uncultured bacterium. Its description in RNAcentral is "partial 16S ribosomal RNA". It matches the Rfam family "Bacterial small subunit ribosomal RNA", at positions 29 to 507 of the family's 1533-position model. The record is from RNAcentral.